This 506-nucleotide ribosomal RNA is filed under the name uncultured bacterium. Its description in RNAcentral is "partial 16S ribosomal RNA". It matches the Rfam family "Bacterial small subunit ribosomal RNA", at positions 29 to 523 of the family's 1533-position model. The record is from RNAcentral.
AGUGAACGCUGGCGGUAGGCCUAACACAUGCAAGUCGAACGGCAGCACAGGAGAGCUUGCUCUCUGGGUGGCGAGUGGCGGACGGGUGAGGAAUACAUCGGAAUCUACUCUGUCGUGGGGGAUAACGUAGGGAAACUUACGCUAAUACCGCAUACGACCUACGGGUGAAAGCAGGGGACCUUCGGGCCUUGCGCGAUUGAAUGAGCCGAUGUCGGAUUAGCUAGUUGGCGGGGUAAAGGCCCACCAAGGCGACGAUCCGUAGCUGGUCGGGGAGGAUGACCAGCCACACGAGAGCUGAGACACGGUCCAGACUCGUACGGGAGGCAGCAGUGGGGAAUAUUGGACAAUGGGCGUAAGCCUGAUCCAGCCAUACCGCGUGGGUGAAGAAGGCCUUCGGGUUGUAAAGCCCUUUUGUUGGGAAAGAAAUCCAGCUGGCUAAUACCCGGUUGGGAUGACGGUACCCAAAGAAUAAGCACCGGCUAACUUCGUGCCAGCCGCCGCGGUAA